Tarenaya hassleriana is the source of this 949-nucleotide long non-coding RNA. RefSeq lists it as uncharacterized. The record is from RefSeq and is a predicted model, not a curated record. NCBI's taxonomy places the organism in Eukaryota, Viridiplantae, Streptophyta, Magnoliopsida, Brassicales, Cleomaceae. The transcript is spliced from 7 exons.
GCUAAGCAUGAUCUGAAUUCUGAACGGCGCCGUUUUGUAGGCACAACGUUUGUUUCCGGCAAAAUUCGGUGGAUUUGAGUUUAGGUUGCCGGCCAGGAAAAACCCCGUGCUUGUUCCUUGUUGUGCAAUCUUUGCUCCUUCAUCAGUCAUCAGAAUGAUAAUCUCAGUGUCAUGGGUCCCGAAAGGGCCUCGAGGGCUGUGCCUGCUGUUGCUGAUCCUCCUUCCAAGGAAGAAAUCGAAGAGCUCAUAAAGAACGGCGCUUUUGAUCGAAGAGUAAUGAUGAUGAAGAAGAAGAAGUAUGUGUAGAUGGCGAAGCUGAAAAUUCCGGAGAUGAAGUUGCUCAGGUGUUAGCCGUGGCGGUAAGAACUCUUCUUCCAUGGAUGUUGAUGAUGUUGCUGAUGGGCUGAAGGAACUUGACGUGGAUAAUUACGAUGACGAGGAUGAAGCUUAUUGCUACCGGAUCGAUGGAUAAAAUGGUAAAACUUUGGGAUAUCUCUAACAACCAGCCUUCUUACAUUGCUUCUCAGAAUCCGAAAGUUGGAGCUGUUUUCUCAAUAUCCUUCUGUGCAGACAGUUCCUUCUUGCUCGCCAUCGGUGGCUCAAAGGGGAAGCUACAAGAGUGGGAUAUGCUCUCUGACGCGGGUGUCUCACGGAAAUAUAGGAGCAGCUGAAAAGGAAGAAAUUUGGCUCCUGCGAGGUGCAGUCUUCAUCCAUACACCUCCUCUGAAUCCGACGUCUUCGAUGGGAAAACUCUCCAACUCUGGACACCAGCUUGCAUUCACCGUCCUCAGUUCAGGCAUCGCUCGCCGGACCACCUCCCAGUCCAUUUCCAGUUCCGACAGCGAACUCAGCAUCAAACCCUCGAUGCUCCAGUGAGUUCCACCAUUCCCUAUUCCCCAGAAUUUCUCGUGCAUUUUCGCCAAAUUCCCUGAACAUAUCGAUAGAUACC